UACGGGGGGGGUAAGCGUUGUUCGGAAUUACUGGGCGUAAAGGGCUCGUAGGCGGCCAACUAGGUCAGACGUGAAAUCCCUCAGCUUAACUGGGGAACUGCGUCUGAUACUGGAUGGCUUGGAUCCGGGAGAGGGAUGCGGAAUUCCAGGUGUAGCGGUGAAAUGCGUAGAUAUCUGGAGGAACACCGGUGGCGAAGGCGGCAUCCUGGACCGGUAUUGACGCUGAGGAGCGAAAGCCAGGGGAGCAAACGGG
This 253-nucleotide ribosomal RNA is filed under the name uncultured bacterium. Its description in RNAcentral is "partial 16S ribosomal RNA". It matches the Rfam family "Bacterial small subunit ribosomal RNA", at positions 524 to 776 of the family's 1533-position model. The record is from RNAcentral.